CUGGUCAUUAUGAGCCUGUAUACUCCACUGGUGCUGGUGCCCUUUGCCCUCAUGGCCUUUCUGUUUGCAGUCUGCUGUGAUGACAGAGGGGUGUUGUGGUUCAGUGUCAGCUGUCAGGCUGCUUCCAGCCUACUGAUGCUUGUGGGCCUCUGUGGGGCUCCACUUUAGCUAUGUGUCAUUGGCUGGUAUGACAGCAGGGUACUAUGUCUGUGUGUUUGUUAAUGCUGAGCUUGCUACAGCAGCUGUACUGACCUGGAUGACAGGGAGGCGGGAGCUAAGAGAUGAGACGACAGCCUAUGAUAACUAAUAACCCAGUGGAGAGGCUUGCUGGUAACCAACAUGGGAUUGUCAAGUCCUCCCUAGUGUUCAAAUAAGAGGAAAUGUUCAGCAACCCCUAACUGACCUCUCUGCAACAGUUUACGUUGGCAAACAUUUGUUUGCUGGUCAGGAAAAACAAGUCAACUUUUGAUUUGUUUAUUUCAAGUUUUUCAAUGUGUUCAACAUGAUCAACCAAAAAGGUGUACAUUUUAAAUGACUAUGUCUAUAUAAUGUUUUUGAAAACAUACUAUUCAUAACUUUAUUUUGUCUUUUCAUGUUUGUGUUCUGUUCUGUACAUAAUGUAUAUUUUUAAAUCAAAUUAAGUUUCCAAUAUGAACUCUGAUACAGAGAUACUUUGACCACUACUACUAUAGUCCUACUGUAUUGUGGUCGGCAAUGUUGACAACAAAAAUGCUACAGUAAUUUUAAUAAAUCAACCACUAGCCUAAGUAAUUCAAAAAGAUAUUGCAUACCUUCUGGCUAACUGUCAUGUUCCAGUAAAUGAGUGUGAUAACAAUGAUUAUUAGGUGAAGUAGGUUAAGUUAAACCACCAAUUUUGCUCACGAGUCUCAAAUGUACAUGAUGUAUUCGUCAACAAUGUUGCAAAAUUGUGAAGUGCAUGACAUGCCUGUUGAUCAUAAGCCUAUCAUAAGAGUAUGUUGAUGGUCAACAAAGAUUUCUGUAAUUUCUAUAUGAAUUUGGUCAGGUCGCCAAAAAAGUGACAUAUUACAGCUUUUAAAAAGAAAUGUCAUCAAUAAAGGUGCCUUUAGAAUAUCCCGGUAGUCACAUUUUAUUCUUCAAUCACAAUUAUAUAUAUUUUUUGUUUCUAUUACAAAGUAUGUCAUUGCCCUUUUAAUGCUCUUAAUAAAGGGGAAACUAUCUUGCGCAGUUGCGCCUAAUAUUGUACACAUCAUUAGUUGCACCUAGUGAGCCAGU
RNAcentral lists this long non-coding RNA (1254 nucleotides) under Salmo salar (Atlantic salmon). Its description in RNAcentral is "lncRNA (ENSSSAG00000115297.1)". Lineage: Eukaryota; Metazoa; Chordata; Actinopteri; Salmoniformes; Salmonidae. The record is from RNAcentral.